GGUAAGGGAUCCAAUGUGUCAAGCACAUCCAUCAAAGGAAAGAGAGUAGGCCUCCUGCCUGGAUGCCAUCAUAGGCCUCAAUGGCUGAAAUAGCAUAUUUCCAAAAUCUCGGGAACCAUCGCCUGGGAAAACCUUUACCUUCUUCAAGUGUUUUUGCAUUCCAUCCACAUAGCGAUGUUAUAGACAAAUAGCUUGGUUUGC
This is a non-coding RNA of Pelobates cultripes (western spadefoot toad), 201 nucleotides long. Lineage: Eukaryota; Metazoa; Chordata; Amphibia; Anura; Pelobatidae. The record is from the annotation of a GenBank genome assembly.